This 514-nucleotide ribosomal RNA is filed under the name uncultured bacterium. Its description in RNAcentral is "bacterial SSU rRNA". It matches the Rfam family "Bacterial small subunit ribosomal RNA", at positions 15 to 518 of the family's 1533-position model. The record is from RNAcentral.
GAUCAUGGCUCAGGAUGAACGACUGCGGCAGGCUAAUACAUGCAAGUCGAACGGUAAGGCCGAGUGCAGCAAUGCACGAGGUACACGAGUGGCGCACGGGUGCGUAACGCGUAUGCAACCUGCCCCCAACCGGGACAAAACAGCUGGAAACGGCUGCUAAUAUCCCAUGGUCACUUAAAACGGCAUCGUUAUGGGUGUAAAGAUUUAUUGGUUGGGGAUGGGCAUGCGUAUUAUUAGGUAGUUGGCGGGGUAACGGCCCACCAAGCCGACGAUGAUUUGGGGUUCUGAGAGGAAAGACCCCCACACUGGAACUGAGACACGGUCCAGACUCCUACGGGAGGCAGCAGUAGGGAAUAUUGGGCAAUGGAGGCAACUCUGACCCAGCCAAUGCCGCGUGAAGGAAUAAGGCCCUAUGGGUCGUAAACUUCUUUUACCGCAGAGUAAACCCGGGGACGCGUCCCCGGUUGAGAGUAUGCGGGGAAUAAGUAUCGGCUAACUCCGUGCCAGCCGCAGC